Molecule: unclassified non-coding RNA, 203 nt
Filed under: fungal sp.
Lineage: Eukaryota; Fungi
Description: partial internal transcribed spacer region
Rfam family: Eukaryotic small subunit ribosomal RNA (bases 1-46)
Source: RNAcentral
AAGUCGUAACAAGGUAUCCGUAGGUGAACCUGCGGAUGGAUCAUUACCAAAGGACACUCAAUGUCUUGUGAACUGUAUUGACUUACCACGGUCUGGGCGCCUCCUCGGAGCUGCCCAGGCUGUACACAACAAACCUACAAACUCAACUUACAUCCUCGAGAACAAAAUCUAAAUAACUUUUAGCAAUGGAUCUCUUGGCUCUC